CGUAGGCGGUGCUCUAAGUCAGGCGUGAAAGCCCUGGGCUCAACCCGGGAAUUGCGCUUGAUACUGGAGCGCUUGAAUCCAGGAGAGGUUGGUGGAAUUCCCAGUGUAGAGGUGAAAUUCGUAGAGAUUGGGAAGAACACCGGUGGCGAAGGCGGCCAACUGGACUGGUAUUGACGCUGAGGCGCGAAAGCGUGGGGAGCAAACAGGAUUAGAUACCCUGGUAGUCCACGCUGUAAACGAUGUGUGCUAGCCGUUGGGGCUCUUAGAGCCUCGGUGGCGUCGCUAACGCUUUAAGCACACCGCCUGGGGAGUACGGUCGCAAGAUUAAAACUCAAAGGAAUUGA
Molecule: ribosomal RNA, 344 nt
Filed under: uncultured bacterium
Lineage: Bacteria
Description: bacterial SSU rRNA
Rfam family: Bacterial small subunit ribosomal RNA
Source: RNAcentral